ACGAACGCUGGCGGCGUGCUUAACACAUGCAAGUCGAACGGAAAGGCCUCUUUCGGGGGGUACUCGAGUGGCGAACGGGUGAGUAACACGUGAGUAACCUGCCCUUGACUUUGGGAUAACUUCAGGAAACUGGGGCUAAUACCGGAUAGGAGCUCCUGCUGCAUGGUGGGGGUUGGAAAGUUUCGGCGGUUGGGGAUGGACUCGCGGCGUAUCAGCUUGUUGGUGGGGUAGUGGCUUACCAAGGCGUUGACGGGUAGCCGGCCUGAGAGGGUGAACGGCCACAUUGGGAAUGAGAUAAGGCCCAGACUCCUACGGGAGGCAGCAGUGGGGAAUAUUGCACAAUGGGUGGAAGCCUGAUGCAGCAACGCCGUGUGCGGGAUGACGGCCUUCGGGUUGUAAACCGCUUUCGCUCAUGACGAAGCUUUGUGUGACGGUAGUGGGUAAAGAAGCACCGGCUAACUACGUG
This 466-nucleotide ribosomal RNA is filed under the name uncultured bacterium. RNAcentral describes it as "partial 16S ribosomal RNA". It matches the Rfam family "Bacterial small subunit ribosomal RNA", at positions 29 to 507 of the family's 1533-position model. The record is from RNAcentral.